AUCCAACUGAUGAGUCCCAUAUAGGACGAAACAUGCGUCAAACUGGAU
Schistosoma margrebowiei is the source of this 48-nucleotide non-coding RNA. Lineage: Eukaryota; Metazoa; Platyhelminthes; Trematoda; Strigeidida; Schistosomatidae. The record is from Rfam.